RNAcentral lists this ribosomal RNA (1443 nucleotides) under uncultured organism. RNAcentral describes it as "16S ribosomal RNA". It matches the Rfam family "Bacterial small subunit ribosomal RNA". The record is from RNAcentral.
ACGCUAGCGACAGGCUUAACACAUGCAAGUCGAGGGGCAGCACGGUGUAGCAAUACAUUGGUGGCGACCGGCGCACGGGUGAGUAACGCGUAUGCAACCUACCUAUCAGAGGGGAAUAACCCGGCGAAAGUCGGACUAAUACCGCAUAAAACAGGGGUUCCACAUGGAAAUAUUUGUUAAAGAUUUAUCGCUGAUAGAUGGGCAUGCGUUCCAUUAGAUAGUUGGUGAGGUAACGGCUCACCAAGUCCACGAUGGAUAGGGGUUCUGAGAGGAAGGUCCCCCACACUGGUACUGAGACACGGACCAGACUCCUACGGGAGGCAGCAGUGAGGAAUAUUGGUCAAUGGGCGAGAGCCUGAACCAGCCAAGUCGCGUGAAGGAUGAAGGAUCUAUGGUUUGUAAACUUCUUUUAUAUGGGAAUAAAGUGAGGGACGUGUUCCUUUUUGUAUGUACCAUAUGAAUAAGCAUCGGCUAACUCCGUGCCAGCAGCCGCGGUAAUACGGAGGAUGCGAGCGUUAUCCGGAUUUAUUGGGUUUAAAGGGUGCGUAGGUGGUUUUUUAAGUCAGCGGUGAAAGUUUGUGGCUCAACCAUAAAAUUGCCGUUGAAACUGGGGAACUUGAGUAUAUUUGAGGUAGGCGGAAUGCGUGGUGUAGCGGUGAAAUGCAUAGAUAUCACGCAGAACUCCGAUUGCGAAGGCAGCUUACUAAACUAUAACUGACACUGAAGCACGAAAGCGUGGGGAUCAAACAGGAUUAGAUACCCUGGUAGUCCACGCAGUAAACGAUGAUUACUAGCUGUUUGCGAUACACAGUAAGCGGCACAGCGAAAGCGUUAAGUAACCCACCUGGGGAGUACGCCGGCAACGGUGAAACUCAAAGGAAUUGACGGGGGCCCGCACAAGCGGAGGAACAUGUGGUUUAAUUCGAUGAUACGCGAGGAACCUUACCCGGGUUUGAACGCAUUCGGACCGACUGUGAAAGCAGUCUUUCAGCAAUGACCGUUUGCGAGGUGCUGCAUGGUUGUCGUCAGCUCGUGCCGUGAGGUGUCGGCUUAAGUGCCAUAACGAGCGCAACCCUUAUCACUAGUUACUAACAGGUCAUGCUGAGGACUCUAGUGAGACUGCCAGCGUAAGCUGUGAGGAAGGUGGGGAUGACGUCAAAUCAGCACGGCCCUUACAUCCGGGGCGACACACGUGUUACAAUGGUGGGGACAAAGGGCAGCUACACAGCGAUGUGAUGCUAAUCUCCAAACCCCAUCUCAGUUCGGAUCGAAGUCUGCAGCCCGACUUCGUGAAGCUGGAUUCGCUAGUAAUCGCGCAUCAGCCAUGGCGCGGUGAAUACGUUCCCGGGCCUUGUACACACCGCCCGUCAAGCCAUGGGAGUUGGGGGUACCUAAAGUCCGUAACCGUAAGGAUCGGCCUAGGGUAAAACCGAUGACUGGGGC